Molecule: long non-coding RNA, 692 nt
Filed under: Pongo abelii (Sumatran orangutan)
Lineage: Eukaryota; Metazoa; Chordata; Mammalia; Primates; Hominidae
Description: lncRNA (ENSPPYG00000031125.1)
Source: RNAcentral
AACUUUGUGCCAUCAAUGAAAACUCAUUCACCAUCAGAGAAAUCACACAAUGACAAAAGCUAGAAUAUAAUAAGUGUGUGAUAAACUUUAACAAAAAGUCAGUACAGCAGAAAAUACAUUCAAGAUAGAGACCUCAUAGUAUAUUAAAACAAACAAGAAAUGAAGUUAAUGGAUGUGGGAAAUUCUUCUGCCAUGUCAACCCUCAUUUUAACUUACACAGAGAAUGGAAUGGAGGAAAACCGUGGGACUCAGGCUCUGACGAUGGAAAGUACAAGAUGGUAGGAACCCAGGACAUCUGAACUCGGUGUAUGUCAGAAAAGUCACAUAGGACAAACCUCGGACAGCAUCCUGAAUGACCAUGGCUUUUAUCCCCAAAGUCUUCCUCAUCAGACAGGUAAUAUCAUAAGAAAUCUGACAUUUUAACAAAUGUAGGAAAUUCUUCACACACACAGACAGACACUCACACAUACACACCCAAAAUCUCAUUAAAUAUAUGAUAAUUUAGUUUUGAAUGUGUAAAAGUUUUCAACAGAUUAUCAUAUUUUAUAUCAGAGCUUGUUACAAGGAGAAAAUCUAUCAAUUUGAGAAAGGUAAGUAACAGCCUUUAUAUAGAUAUUGCUUUAUCAGAACUGUUGUUUCAUAUAUAAUAUCAAACUUUUAAUGAAAUAAAAGACAUUCACUAUAAUAAAAAG